RNAcentral lists this ribosomal RNA (465 nucleotides) under Vreelandella stevensii. Its description in RNAcentral is "partial 16S ribosomal RNA". It matches the Rfam family "Bacterial small subunit ribosomal RNA", at positions 338 to 795 of the family's 1533-position model. Lineage: Bacteria; Pseudomonadati; Pseudomonadota; Gammaproteobacteria; Oceanospirillales; Halomonadaceae. The record is from RNAcentral.
CCUACGGGGGGCAGCAGUGGGGAAUAUUGGACAAUGGGGGCAACCCUGAUCCAGCCAUGCCGCGUGUGUGAAGAAGGCCCUCGGGUUGUAAAGCACUUUCAGUGAGGAAGAACGCCUGGUGGUUAAUACCCAUCAGGAAAGACAUCACUCACAGAAGAAGCACCGGCUAACUCCGUGCCAGCAGCCGCGGUAAUACGGAGGGUGCGAGCGUUAAUCGGAAUUACUGGGCGUAAAGCGCGCGUAGGUGGCUUGAUAAGCCGGUUGUGAAAGCCCCGGGCUCAACCUGGGAACGGCAUCCGGAACUGGCAAGCUAGAGUGCAGGAGAGGAAGGUAGAAUUCCCGGUGUAGCGGUGAAAUGCGUAGAGAUCGGGAGGAAUACCAGUGGCGAAGGCGGCCUUCUGGACUGACACUGACACUGAGGUGCGAAAGCGUGGGUAGCAAACAGGAUUAGAUACCCUAGUAGUC